UUUCCGUAGGUGAACCUGCGGAAGGAUCAUUACAGAGUUCAUGCCCUCACGGGUAGAUCUCCCACCCUUGAAUAUUUAUACCUUAGUUGCUUUGGCAGGCCGUGGAAACACCAUGGGCUCGGGCUUAUGCGUGCCUGCCAGAGGAAACAAACUCUGUUUUUAGUGAUGUCUGAGUACUAUAUAAUAGUUAAAACUUUCAACAACGGAUCUCUUGGUUCUG
This 220-nucleotide unclassified non-coding RNA is filed under the name plant metagenome. RNAcentral describes it as "partial contains small subunit ribosomal RNA, internal transcribed spacer 1, and 5.8S ribosomal RNA". The record is from RNAcentral.